GUAGCUAUAGUUUAAUUAAAACAUUAGAUUGUGAAUCUAAUAAUAGAAGAUUAUAACUUCUUAACUACC
Molecule: transfer RNA, 69 nt
Filed under: Cebus unicolor
Lineage: Eukaryota; Metazoa; Chordata; Mammalia; Primates; Cebidae
Description: tRNA-His
Rfam family: tRNA
About the family: Transfer RNA (tRNA) molecules are approximately 80 nucleotides in length. Their secondary structure includes four short double-helical elements and three loops (D, anti-codon, and T loops). Further hydrogen bonds mediate the characteristic L-shaped molecular structure. tRNAs have two regions of fundamental functional importance: the anti-codon, which is responsible for specific mRNA codon recognition, and the 3' end, to which the tRNAs corresponding amino acid is attached (by aminoacyl-tRNA synthetases). tRNAs cope with the degeneracy of the genetic code in two manners: having more than one tRNA (with a specific anti-codon) for a particular amino acid; and 'wobble' base-pairing, i.e. permitting non-standard base-pairing at the 3rd anti-codon position.
Source: RNAcentral